Molecule: ribosomal RNA, 292 nt
Filed under: uncultured bacterium
Lineage: Bacteria
Description: partial 16S ribosomal RNA
Source: RNAcentral
GGACUACAGGGGUAUCUAAUCCUGUUUGCUCCCCACGCUUUCGUGCCUGAGCGUCAGUGUCAGCCCAGGGGGCUGCCUUCGCCAUCGGUGUUCCUCCACAUCUCUACGCAUUUCACUGCUACACGUGGAAUUCCACCCCCCUCUGCCACACUCCAGCUCGCCAGUUUCCACUGCCAUUCCCAGGUUGAGCCCGGGGCUUUCACAGCAGACACAACGAACCGCCUGCGCACGCUUUACGCCCAGUAAUUCCGAUUAACGCUCGCACCCUACGUAUUACCGCGGCUGCUGGCAC